RNAcentral lists this ribosomal RNA (469 nucleotides) under uncultured Sphingobacteriales bacterium. RNAcentral's name for it is "bacterial SSU rRNA". It matches the Rfam family "Bacterial small subunit ribosomal RNA", at positions 912 to 1382 of the family's 1533-position model. The record is from RNAcentral. Lineage: Bacteria; Pseudomonadati; Bacteroidota; Sphingobacteriia; Sphingobacteriales.
GACGGGGGCCCGCACAAGCGGAGGAGCAUGUGGUUUAAUUCGAUGAUACGCGAGGAACCUUACCUGGGCUCGAACGUAAGAUGACUGUAGGUGAAAGCUUACAUCUCUUCGGAGCAUUUUACGAGGUGCUGCAUGGUUGUCGUCAGCUCGUGCCGUGAGGUGUCGGGUUAAGUCCCAUAACGAGCGCAACCCUACCUUUAGUUGCCAUCAGGUUAAGCUGGGGACUCUAAAGGAACUGCCUACGCAAGUAGUGAGGAAGGCGGGGAUGACGUCAAAUCAGCACGGCCCUUACGUCCAGGGCUACACACGUGCUACAAUGGCCGAUACAGAGGGCAGCUACCUGGUGACAGGAUGCAAAUCUCCAAAGUCGGUCUCAGUUCGGAUCGGAGUCUGCAACCCGACUCCGUGAAGCUGGAAUCGCUAGUAAUCGCGCAUCAGCCAUGGCGCGGUGAAUACGUUCCCGGGCCUU